RNAcentral lists this long non-coding RNA (292 nucleotides) under Mustela putorius furo (domestic ferret). Its description in RNAcentral is "lncRNA (ENSMPUG00000030993.1)". Lineage: Eukaryota; Metazoa; Chordata; Mammalia; Carnivora; Mustelidae. The record is from RNAcentral.
UGAUUUAGGACACCCUAUAAAUACACACCAGGGCAGAGUUGAGUCCAAGCCAGCUGGAACCUCUGUUUAUAUCAAAGCUCCAGGGUUCACUUGGAUUAUCUCUGGGUGACUUCAGUUGCUGAUCUCAUUUUAGACCUAGGAAUAUGAGGUCCCAGUUACUGAGAGACUUCCAGUUCCAGAAAGAAGGGUCUCAGUCCCUAAUUUCAGGCUGAUUGGAAAGUAGACCCUCAGGCAGCAGCUUUUAAGGUAAGUACGUUCCUGUGGUACCAUAAUUGAACAACUCUGCUGGCCU